CAGGCAAUCAAUCACAAUACCAAACACUCAUUUACAAACAAAAAGGGUUUGAAUACAACACUGGACCGUCUACAAAAUAGACCAGCUCGAUAAAAUGGGAACUAUCCUAAACCCAACUAGCAGGACACGUUCACCAAUACUUCAGUCUCCACCUUUCCAGACUUAGGGCUCCGGGUCCUCCACGACCGCCAUCUAGGGACCUGAAAUUUUAAUCCCACAACUGGGAUGAGACGAUGUCUCAGCAAGUUCAACCCCCUAAACCCCUAUUAGAAAGAAAAUACACCCCGGGUGGCCUAGCCACAUCACACAUAAGACUUACCUCGCCUCAGUUCCUUCCUGCAAAUUAGCGCAAUUCAAAUCACUCAAUCACAGAUAGUAAGAGAGACUUAAACAACCGGAACGCAAUCACUUUCAUAUAACCAACAACCGCGGGGGUCCUGAUUAUAAGACUAAAUCGUUAUGACACGUCCCAUAAUCCGACACAUCAACAACACUCAACAUGCAUUCCAAUUGUUAUUCACUGCCACACAAGGGCAUAGCCUACUCGCUGUUCGGCUAUCUACUGGCAUAUAGCCAGGCAUCGCCUCCCCACCUUGGAGCGCGGCUUCGUCAGUACAUCGACGGCGUUCCCGAAGGAGCAUGGGUCCAGAAUCAACUGCGACCCGCAACCACUGCGUGGGCAUCCCAUAUAGGGGCAAGUUCGGCUCAACAACCCAGGACGAUUCCUCUUAGUUCUCACACAGCCAAAGCAUACUCAACCCCAUGACACUUUAUAUUUCAAUCAAUGCUUCCACUUAAAAUAGUGAUCCCGGCCAUUUUUCUUCACAUUAAAAAUAUCCCAGAAAUUACUCACGUGUGUGGGGACACGCUAAUUUCAAAUCAAAAAGCCAAUAUCUCACUUUUUCAAACCCCACUAUUUAAUAUAAUCAUUAAAAUCCAAUUUUUGCAUCAAAGCCCGACACUUGGGUUUUUAUCAAUAAAAUCUCCAUUUACCACCAUCAACACUCAAUUUGCCACAUACAUUCAUCAAAUUCAAAUUCUAAAUGCACAUCAGCGAUCAUCACGAAAUUCUGAGAAUUUAGGGUCCCAAAAUAAUUUUUCGGAAUUUAUUAAAUAAUUAAAUUUAUUCCGAAAAUUAAUAUAAUAAUAAUAUCCAUAUUUUUCACGAUCCACACUCAAUUUAUAAUAUCCAAUCAUCAAUUUCAAAAUCCGACUACACAGCAGCGACCGGCACGAAAUUCUGAGAAUUUAGGGUCCCGACAAAUUUUUCGGAAUUUAAUAAAUAAUUAAAUUUAUUCCGAAAAUAAUUAAAUAAUAAUAUUUUAAUAAUUUCGAAUAAUGAUAUAUUAUUAAAUUAUUAAAUAAUUUCGAAAUAUUUAAAUAAAUCAAAAGUAAAUUCCUUUAUGUCACAUCAAGGCUUAUAUUAAUAUAAACCUUCAUUUAGCCUUAAAUUAAACUCACUUUAAGCUAAUUAAACACAUUAAUAUAAUCCACACUUAAAUAAAUUAAACUAACCACCUAAUCACAAUUAACAUAAACUAAGCACACCUAAAGCAUAAUUAACCCUCUAAGCGAUGUUUAGUGAGUUAAACUCACCGGAUUAGCGAGCCGAGCGGACCAAAACGACGAGGACGCCGAGGAGAACAACUUUCCUCAAAGCGGGCCGAGCAUCUGGGCUUGGGAAGGUGGCCAAAACGGGCCAAGACUUAGCUGCCAUACCCAUUUUCUUGGUUGCUGUCCAUGGCGAUUUGAGGCCGAGGAAGGGUAGAUUCGGCGCUGGUUCAGGCGGAGGAACGGCGGAGGAGACCGGCGAGGGCUUGGACGGGCCGAAGGGGAGGUCGACGGCGG
RNAcentral lists this long non-coding RNA (1848 nucleotides) under Eucalyptus grandis. RNAcentral's name for it is "long non-coding RNA (EGRA_LNC006690)". The record is from RNAcentral. Lineage: Eukaryota; Viridiplantae; Streptophyta; Magnoliopsida; Myrtales; Myrtaceae.